RNAcentral lists this ribosomal RNA (442 nucleotides) under uncultured bacterium. Its description in RNAcentral is "partial 16S ribosomal RNA". It matches the Rfam family "Bacterial small subunit ribosomal RNA", at positions 338 to 795 of the family's 1533-position model. The record is from RNAcentral.
CCUACGGGAGGCAGCAGUGGGGGAUAUUGGACAAUGGGGGGAACCCUGAACCAGCGACGCCGCGUGAGUGAAGAAGUAUCUCGGUAUGUAAAGCUCUAUCAGUAGGGAAGAAGAAAUGACGGUACCUGAGUAAGAAGCCCUGGCUAACUACGUGCCAGCAGCCGCGGUAAUACGUAGGGCGCAAGUGUUAUCCGGAAUUACUGGGUGUAAAGGGAGCGUAGACGGUUAUGUAAGUGUGGAGUGAAAGGCGGGGGCCCAACCCGCGGACUGCUCUGGAGACUAUGUGACUGGAGUGCAGGAGAGGUAGGCGGAAUUCGUGGUGUAGCGGUGAAAGGCGUAGAUAUUAGGAAGAACACCAGUGGCGAAGGCAGCUCACUAAACUGUAACUGACAUUGAGGCUCGAAAGCGUGGGGAGCAAACAGGAUUAGAUACCCUAGUAGUC